AACGGGUGAGUAACGCGUAGGUAACCUGCCUGGUAGCGGGGGAUAACUAUUGGAAACGAUAGCUAAUACCGCAUAACAGUCGACAUUGCAUGAUGUUGAUUUGAAAGGGGCAAAUGCUCCACUACCAGAUGGACCUGCGUUGUAUUAGCUAGUUGGUGAGGUAACGGCUCACCAAGGCGACGAUACAUAGCCGGCCUGAGAGGGUGAACGGCCACAAGGGGACUGAGAUACGGCCCUUACUCU
RNAcentral lists this ribosomal RNA (243 nucleotides) under uncultured Streptococcus sp. RNAcentral describes it as "partial 16S ribosomal RNA". It matches the Rfam family "Bacterial small subunit ribosomal RNA", at positions 101 to 339 of the family's 1533-position model. Lineage: Bacteria; Bacillati; Bacillota; Bacilli; Lactobacillales; Streptococcaceae. The record is from RNAcentral.